UGCUUAGAAAUCCUUCUGGCAAUGGCCCAC
RNAcentral lists this non-coding RNA (30 nucleotides) under Rattus norvegicus (Norway rat). The record is from RNAcentral. Lineage: Eukaryota; Metazoa; Chordata; Mammalia; Rodentia; Muridae.